RNAcentral lists this ribosomal RNA (496 nucleotides) under uncultured bacterium. Its description in RNAcentral is "partial 16S ribosomal RNA". It matches the Rfam family "Bacterial small subunit ribosomal RNA", at positions 28 to 506 of the family's 1533-position model. The record is from RNAcentral.
GAUGAACGCUGGCGGCGUGCCUAAUACAUGCAAGUCGAGCGAACAGAUGAGGAGCUUGCUCCUCUGACGUUAGCGGCGGACGGGUGAGUAACACGUGGAUAACCUGCCUAUAAGACUGGGAUAACUUCGGGAAACCGGAGCUAAUACCGGAUAAUAUAUUGAACCGCAUGGUUCAAUAGUGAAAGACGGUUUUGCUGUCACUUAUAGAUGGAUCCGCGCCGCAUUAGCUAGUUGGUAAGGUAACGGCUUACCAAGGCAACGAUGCGUAGCCGACCUGAGAGGGUGAUCGGCCACACUGGAACUGAGACACGGUCCAGACUCCUACGGGAGGCAGCAGUAGGGAAUCUUCCGCAAUGGGCGAAAGCCUGACGGAGCAACGCCGCGUGAGUGAUGAAGGUCUUCGGAUCGUAAAACUCUGUUAUUAGGGAAGAACAAAUGUGUAAGUAACUAUGCACGUCUUGACGGUACCUAAUCAGAAAGCCACGGCUAACUACGU